Molecule: ribosomal RNA, 492 nt
Filed under: uncultured bacterium
Lineage: Bacteria
Description: partial 16S ribosomal RNA
Rfam family: Bacterial small subunit ribosomal RNA
Source: RNAcentral
AGUGAACGCUGGCGGUAGGCCUAACACAUGCAAGUCGAACGGCAGCACAGUAAGAGCUUGCUCUUACGGGUGGCGAGUGGCGGACGGGUGAGGAAUACAUCGGAAGCUACUUUUUCGUGGGGGAUAACGGAGGGAAACUUACGAUAAUACCGCAUACGACCUACGGGUGAAAGCAGGGGAUCUUCGGACCUUGCGCGAUUGAAUGAGCCGAUGUCGGAUUAGCUAGUUGGCGGGGUAAAGGCCCACCAAGGCGACGAUCCGUAGCUGGUCUGAGAGGAUGAUCAGCCACACUGGAGCUGGGACACGGUCCAGACUCCUACGGGAGGCAGCAGUGGGGUAUGUUGGACAAUGGGCGCAAGCCUGAUCCAGCCAUACCGCGUGGGUGAAGAAGGCCUUCGGGUUGUAAAGCCCUUUUGUUGGGAAAGAAAAGCAGCAGGUUAAUACCCCGCUGUUCUGACGGUACCCAAAGAAUAAGCACCGGCUAACUUCGUG